GGGCACACUCGGUGCAAUUUGCCCAGGGAUAUGCCUAAGUUUGGUCAGUGCCUGAAGUUUCUACCAGAGGUCCCCCAGAUUGGAAAGUCUCUAUUGACAAAGUUUCAGCACCAAGAUAUUAUCCAAAAUUCAGAGGAGGAAAAGGGCCCUGGAGCUCCUGGAGACCUGGGCCUCAGGAUCUUUGAGCGUUGCAUCCAGCUCAGGAGUUACACGAAGCAACCCAAGCUCCACCAAGCAACUCUGAAUUAUGGAAUGGAAAUUUAUCAAAGGUCACUUGGAAGUGGGAAUUGCAAACUUUUUACUGGAAAAACAAAAAAUAAGAAUACCCUUUUGAUCUUGU
Molecule: long non-coding RNA, 340 nt
Organism: Gallus gallus (chicken)
Lineage: Eukaryota; Metazoa; Chordata; Aves; Galliformes; Phasianidae
Exons: 2
Source: RefSeq, a predicted model, not a curated record